GGGGCCUAGUAGGGCUCCAGCUUCACUGUAGGCACUUUAUAAAUGUUUUCUUCUAUUUUCUUUUCCUCCAGCUUUAUUGAGAUCUUAUAUUUUAAAUUCUGAAAAAUGUAAUAUACUAUGUAUUUUAUACAUCAAGGCCUGAGAAUUCUCUUCUAAGUAAAGAGCAUAAGCAGUUUGGGACUCUUCACCCAACUCCUGUUUUGUUGCUCUGCCAUUUUCAAGAACCUCUGGGUUCCUGCUCAUGGUUCAUGAUGGCUGCUUCAGCUGUUGCCAACAUAUAUAUCUGUGUCCAAAUGAUCAAGAAGAGAGAAACGGACAAGGGUGAGACAUGACCACUUCUUUUAAGAGCACGAUCUGCAAGACGCACAAAUUAUUUUUGCUUUUGUCCUGAACUUAGUCACAUGACCUGCAAGAGAGACUUGAAUAUGUCAUCUUUAGCUAUGUGACUGUGUACCUAGUUAUGCUCCAGCUGCUCUGUUACUCAAGAAAGGGACGGUGAAUAUUGGGAGACAAGCAGGAGACUCUGCCACGGACUGAGAGAGAUAACCCAUUGUCCUAUCUAUGGCCUGCUGGCAGUGUUUUCAGAGAAAAGACUUGGUAGAUUUCCCAUUGCACUCAUAAACACUCAGAGCUAUCGUAGCCUUCAAGAUUCCUGCAUAUCCCCGACUCUACCCUCAUCUAAAGUAGCGUCCCUAAACCACUCUGCUAUUCUCUUACCCUGUUUUCCCUCAUAGCAUUUACCACUACAUAUCACUAUAUAUUAUGUUUAUUGUUUGUCUUCUGCCCUAGAAUGAGUUCUCUGAAGGCAGAGACUUUGUUGUGUUGAUUACUACCUCCCGUGAACCUAGAAAAAUGCUUACUACUACAUGGUAAGCAGUCAGUAAUUGCAGCAUGAAUGAAUGUCCUUUCUCCCAACACUGACAGUGACUUGAGCAUAUUUAUUCCAUUAUUCAUGUAUUCAGUCCUUAUUUACAUGUACUAUGAGUAAACCACUAUGCUACAUAGUUUGAGGAGUAAAAAGUCUGGUUGCCUAUGAUUCCACUCUCAAUCUUAGUCUAGCAUGGGGAUUCUGGUUCAAAAUGGUGACAGGAAGAUCUUGAACUCACCUCCUCCCAUGGACACACUGAGCC
Molecule: long non-coding RNA, 1130 nt
Filed under: Equus asinus (donkey)
Lineage: Eukaryota; Metazoa; Chordata; Mammalia; Perissodactyla; Equidae
Description: lncRNA (ENSEASG00005031149.1)
Source: RNAcentral